Molecule: long non-coding RNA, 1591 nt
Organism: Homo sapiens (human)
Lineage: Eukaryota; Metazoa; Chordata; Mammalia; Primates; Hominidae
Gene: HISLA
Product: HIF1A stabilizing long noncoding RNA
Source: Ensembl
GAAGGCAGUAUGCUUGGUAAAAGUCAUCGCCAUUCUCUAAUCUUGAGUACCCAGGGACACGAUACACUGCGGAAGGCUGCAGGGACCUCUGCCCAGGAAAGCCAGGAGCCAGAAAAACUUCAUCUCUUUUACAAGAAACAUUGAGAUUCCUGUAAAAUUAAGAAAUCACACAAUUUGAUGGUCUACAUUAUCUAAAGCAAAUGAGACUUCUAUUUGGAACAAAGACUACCUUGUUGGGAAAUGAGUCUGCAAGUUAAAGUGUUUUCUGUUUUCUAAGGAUAAUGGUCUCCAGCUUCGUCAAUGUUCCUGCAAAGGACAUGAUGCUGACUUUGAAGAUGCAAGCUUCCACAUCUACAGCCUCAAGGAAACAAAUUCAGCCAACCAACUGAGGGAGCUUUCCUUGUCCUGCCUCAAGAUGAGAUCACAGUCUGCCCAACACCAUGAUUUAGGCCUUGUGACACCUGAUGAUGCAUAUCAUAAAUUAUUACUCACCCCAUGUUCCCACCCUCGAGAGACCUCCAAACAAUCACCAUGCCACAGUGAACAUUCAGUAACAAAAAUUCAGCCAGGGUUUUCACCAGCAUGAAUGGCAGUGAUUCCAAUCAGGAAAACAGAAAGAGGAGAGUUCAGAGCCACCUAGAAUGGCUCUUGCAAGAUACGAAAUCAAGGCAGCAGCAACAGGGCUGAACAUUCCUCAUCCCUAACUCUCCCUUCACCAGUAGGAAACCCAGGAUAACUGCAAUCACCGCAGGCCCAUCUGGCCUGAAGUUCUACUACUAGUAGCCCUCCAUGGGACCUUCUUAAGGAAGCAUGUCAACUCAGGUAAGGGAUGUAAGGGGAUGGAUGACCCUUUGAGGCCAAAGUUGGAGCAAAAAACACCAGAUGUUCCUGUGCACUGCUCCUAAGAGAUGGUUCUGAAGACCAGUUCGGGGAGAGGUCAAAAUACUGGACAGAAUCUCAGCAACAUGGAACCUCAAACUAAGUGACAGUCACAGACAACUCUUCCCCAAAGAAAAUAAGCACAGACAUGGUUUGUGGUAAGCAGAAUUAUAAAGAUGAAUUCCCAUCUCCCUGUCAGAUUACCAGUAUGGUAAAUUACCAGAUUACCUGGUUAUUUAUUCAAACACUAAUACAGUUAUUGCCUUGAUGGAAACAUACAGAUACAAUUAAAAUCCCAAGUACCAAAUAAAUUGACCUUAAGACAAAGACUAAGUAAAUCACAUGAGCCCUCUACAAGCAGAGAGUUUUUCUCCAGCUGGUAGCAGAAGCCAGAGAUUUGAAGCAUAGGAAGUAUUCAACACAUUAUUGCUGGCCUGAAAAUGGAAGGGGCCACAUAACGAGGGAAACCGGUGGCCUCUAGAAGCAGGGAGCAGUCCCCUGCUGACAGACAGCAAGCCAAGACCUCAGUUCUACAAUUGCAAGACACUCAAUUCUGCUAAGGACAAAAAUGAGCUUGGAAGUGAACUCUGAGCUUCAGGUGAGAACACGGCCAAACAACACCUUGAUUUCAGCUUAAACAAAGAAUGCAGCCACUCCAUGCCAGAAUUCUGACCUGUAGAAAUUUGAGCUAAUAAAUAGAUGUUUUAAUAGC